UGCUUUCGCUGCUGUCGUCUGGAGCUGCGUCUGGUUGACGUUCUUCAGAGCACCGCCGAAGGUGCCAAAGGCCGUUCGCUUUGCGGCCACAAUGUAGAUGCCUGAAGAGCACAAGAGAUAAGCACAUAGUCCAAAGUACACAGUCGCUCCCCCCUUGCCCAUCACAUUCCCAUUCGUUACUGUUAAAAGCACUAGGGGGCAACAGGAGAGACAGAGAGGCAGAUAAGACGUCAACAAGUCCAAAGUUCACUUUGGCUUGAUGAUGAUGUAUCGCAGAAUUGGGACAAACACAUAAAAUACAAUAACAAACAGACAAACCUUUAGUAACUGCGGACAUUUUGCACAAAUUAAAAUCUUAAUUGUUUAACGUACAAUAUAAAAAUAAAACUGAUAUCUAUAUAAAA
Long non-coding RNA from Drosophila sulfurigaster albostrigata, 404 nucleotides. RefSeq lists it as uncharacterized. The transcript is spliced from 2 exons. NCBI's taxonomy places the organism in Eukaryota, Metazoa, Arthropoda, Insecta, Diptera, Drosophilidae. The record is from RefSeq and is a predicted model, not a curated record.